RNAcentral lists this ribosomal RNA (253 nucleotides) under uncultured bacterium. RNAcentral describes it as "partial 16S ribosomal RNA". It matches the Rfam family "Bacterial small subunit ribosomal RNA", at positions 524 to 776 of the family's 1533-position model. The record is from RNAcentral.
UACGUAGGGUGCAAGCGUUGUCCGGAAUUAUUGGGCGUAAAGAGCUCGUAGGCGGUCUGUCGCGUCGGCUGUGAAAACCUGGGGCUUAACUCCGGGCCUGCAGCCGAUACGGGCAGACUAGAGUUCGGCAGGGGAGACUGGAAUUCCUGGUGUAGCGGUGGAAUGCGCAGAUAUCAGGAGGAACACCGGUGGCGAAGGCGGGUCUCUGGGCCGACACUGACGCUGAUGCGCGAAGGCCAGGGGAGCGAACGGG